RNAcentral lists this ribosomal RNA (253 nucleotides) under uncultured bacterium. Its description in RNAcentral is "partial 16S ribosomal RNA". It matches the Rfam family "Bacterial small subunit ribosomal RNA", at positions 524 to 776 of the family's 1533-position model. The record is from RNAcentral.
AACGUAGGGGGCGAGCGUUAUCCGGAUUUACUGGGCGUAAAGCGCAUGUAGGCGGUGGGAUAAGUCAGCCGUGAAAGCUCCCGGCUUAACUGGGAGAGGUCGGUUGAAACUAUCCGACUGGAGGUUGGAAGAGGAGAGUGGAAUUCCCGGUGUAGUGGUGGAAUGCGUAGAGAUCGGGAGGAACACCAGUGGCGAAAGCGGCUCUCUGGACCAAACCUGACGCUGAGAUGCGAAAGCGUGGGGAGCAAACGGG